RNAcentral lists this microRNA precursor (107 nucleotides) under Olea europaea subsp. europaea. Lineage: Eukaryota; Viridiplantae; Streptophyta; Magnoliopsida; Lamiales; Oleaceae. The record is from RNAcentral.
UGGCUCACUUCUAAACACUAACAAACUCUAUUAGACUAGAUUAUAUAUAUAUAUAAUCUAGUCUAAUAGAGUUUGUUAGUGUUUAGAAGUGAGCCAUGCACCACAAG